UGAAGGCGGGCUGGAACCUCUCGGGGUUACAGCCUUGCUGAAUUAUUCACCCUUGUCUUUUGCGUACUUCUUGUUUCCUUGGUGGGUUCGCCCACCACUAGGACAAACAUAAACCUUUUGUAAUUGCAAUCAGCGUCAGUAACAAAUUAAUAAUUACAACUUUCAACAACGGAUCUCUUGGUUCUGGCAUCGAUGAAGAACGCAGCGAAAUGCGAUAAGUAGUGUGAAUUGCAGAAUUCAGUGAAUCAUCGAAUCUUUGAACGCACAUUGCGCCCUUUGGUAUUCCAAAGGGCAUGCCUGUUCGAGCGUCAUUUGUACCCUCAAGCUUUGCUUGGUGUUGGGCGUCUUGUCUCUAGCUUUGCUGGAGACUCGCCUUAAAGUAAUUGGCAGCCGGCCUACUGGUUUCGGAGCGCAGCACAAGUCGCACUCUCUAUCAGCAAAGGUCUAGCAUCCAUUAAGCCUUUUUUUCAACUUUUGACCUCGGAUCAGGUAGGGAUACCCGCUGAACUUAAGCAUAUCAAUAAGCGGAGGAA
This 533-nucleotide ribosomal RNA is filed under the name Alternaria porri. RNAcentral describes it as "eukaryotic LSU rRNA". The stretch from base 158 to 311 matches the Rfam family "5.8S ribosomal RNA". Lineage: Eukaryota; Fungi; Ascomycota; Dothideomycetes; Pleosporales; Pleosporaceae. The record is from RNAcentral.